Molecule: ribosomal RNA, 439 nt
Filed under: uncultured bacterium
Lineage: Bacteria
Description: bacterial SSU rRNA
Rfam family: Bacterial small subunit ribosomal RNA
Source: RNAcentral
UACGGAAGGCAGCAGUGGGGAAUAUUGCACAAUGGGCGCAAGCCUGAUGCAGCCAUGCCGCGUGUAUGAAAAAGGCCUUCGGGUUGUAAAGUACUUUCAGUCGUGAGGAAGGUGUUAAGGUUAAUAACCUUAGCAAUUGACGUUAGCGACAGAAGAAGCACCGGCUAACUCCGUGCCAGCAGCCGCGGUAAUACGGAGGGUGCGAGCGUUAAUCGGAAUUACUGGGCGUAAAGGGCACGCAGGCGGUUAAUUAAGUUGGAUGUGAAAUCCCCGGGCUUAACCUGGGAAUGGCAUUCAAGACUGGUUAGCUAGAGUCUUGUAGAGGGGGUUAGAAUUCCAUGUGUAGCGGUGAAAUGCGUAGAGAUGUGGAGGAAUACCGGUGGCGAAGGCGGCCCCUGGACAAAGACUGACGCUCAUGUGCGAAAGCGUGGGGAGCAAA